This 71-nucleotide transfer RNA is filed under the name Marmota monax (woodchuck). It matches the Rfam family "tRNA". Rfam says of the family: Transfer RNA (tRNA) molecules are approximately 80 nucleotides in length. Lineage: Eukaryota; Metazoa; Chordata; Mammalia; Rodentia; Sciuridae. The record is from Rfam by way of RNAcentral.
GGGGUUUUAGCUCAGUGGUAGAGCACUCAUCUAGCAUAUGAAAGGUCCUAGGUUUGAUCCUCAGGACCACA